This 569-nucleotide ribosomal RNA is filed under the name uncultured bacterium. RNAcentral describes it as "partial 16S ribosomal RNA". It matches the Rfam family "Bacterial small subunit ribosomal RNA", at positions 355 to 914 of the family's 1533-position model. The record is from RNAcentral.
UGGGGAAUUUUGGACAAUGGGCGCAAGCCUGAUCCAGCCAUGCCGCGUGCGGGAAGAAGGCCUUCGGGUUGUAAACCGCUUUUGUCAGGGAAGAAAUCUUCUGAGUUAAUACCUCGGGAGGAUGACGGUACCUGAAGAAUAAGCACCGGCUAACUACGUGCCAGCAGCCGCGGUAAUACGUAGGGUGCAAGCGUUAAUCGGAAUUACUGGGCGUAAAGCGUGCGCAGGCGGUUUUGUAAGACAGAGGUGAAAUCCCCGGGCUCAACCUGGGAACUGCCUUUGUGACUGCAAGGCUUGAGUGCGGCAGAGGGGGGAUGGAAUUCCGCGUGUAGCAGUGAAGUGCGUAGAUAUGCGGAGGAACACCGAUGGCGAAGGCAAUCCCCUGGGCCUGCACUGACGCUCAUGCACGAAAGCGUGGGGAGCAAAACAGGAUUAGAUACCCUGGUAGUCCACGCCCUAAAACGAUGUCAACUGGUUGUUGGGAAGGUUCCUUCUCAGUAACGUAGCUAACGCGUGAAGUUGACCGCCUGGGGAGUACGGCCGCAAGGUUGAAACUCAAAUGAAUUGAC